GACGAGGGGUCCAAGCGUUGUUCGGAAUCAUUGGGCGUAAAGCGGGUGUAGGUGGAUUUGUAAGUCAGGAGUGAAAGCCCCAGGCUUAACCUGGGAAGUGCUUUUGAUACUGCAAAUCUUGAAUGUGGGAGAGGAUGGUGGAAUUCCUGGUGUAGUGGUGAAAUACGUAGAUAUCAGGAGGAACUCCGGUGGCGAAGGCGGCCAUCUGGCCCAACAUUGACACUGAGACCCGAAAGCGUGGGGAUCAAAC
RNAcentral lists this ribosomal RNA (250 nucleotides) under uncultured bacterium. Its description in RNAcentral is "partial 16S ribosomal RNA". It matches the Rfam family "Bacterial small subunit ribosomal RNA", at positions 524 to 773 of the family's 1533-position model. The record is from RNAcentral.